RNAcentral lists this long non-coding RNA (822 nucleotides) under Homo sapiens (human). RNAcentral's name for it is "HSALNT0100921". Lineage: Eukaryota; Metazoa; Chordata; Mammalia; Primates; Hominidae. The record is from RNAcentral.
CUCAGGAGUAGGUUUUUGAUAAAAGAGUAAGUUCAGCCCCCUUCCUCUCUGUUUCUCCUUUGAGUGUUCUCUUGCCAUUCCACCUUCUGCCAUGAAAUAAUACAACAAGAAGGCCCUCAUCAGAUGCCAAACAGAUGAUGGUGCCAUGCUCUUGAACAUCCCAGCCUCCAGAAUUAUUCAUCCUCUACUGAUUCCAGGAUUAGGACAUCAUCAUAACAUAGCAGGAAAUUCACAAUCCUAGAGAUGGGGGUAUGGUGAGAUGCAAGAGCAUUAGAGGACUAUGGAAAUUAUGGGAGCAUGACAUUCUGAAAUUGCACGACUAAGGAAUUGGAAAUAUUUCUCAGGACAUGAUGAUUAUCUGGACACUGGCAAUGAAUCUUGAUCAUUCACCUCGGUGGCUGAGCACCUGUGAACAAGGCCCAGCUCACUGAUGAAGUUUCCCGUGGGCCAACUAGCUUCAAAGACGCGAAUACCGUCUGCACCGUGACGGCAGAUGACACUCCUAAUUCUAAGCAACCAGCUCACAAAGAAAAUAUCCCCAAAUACAGCAGCAGUCUUCAAGACAGGAAAGGAACCAAGAGUGAGCAGGCAGUGUUGUAGAAACUAAGGAGAGGAUUUUUUAGAAGCGCUAAAAAAUAGCCCAGUAGGGAAAAAAGCAUCGUCAACAUGAUCAAGGCUUUUGGAAAGGAGGAUGAAGACUCAGGACAGUCAUUAGCUGCCUUCAACGAAACACUUUCAGCAGAUGGAUGGGGAUGGAAGUCAGACCACAAGGGCAGAGAAGACAGUGGGAAGGAAAGAGUAACCUCCCCAAAUGGUGGGCAG